GUCAGGGUGUAGAAUGAAAAGGGAAUCGGGUGUGAAUCCCGAACAGUCCCGCUGCUGUGAACUCCAAAAAAGGUUCCGAGAAUACUGAAAGCCACUGAUUAUGACGAUUGGGAAGGCCUCGGUUACCGGAGUAAGUCAGAAGACCUGCCAUGCUGU
This 156-nucleotide non-coding RNA is filed under the name Barnesiella intestinihominis. The record is from RNAcentral. Lineage: Bacteria; Pseudomonadati; Bacteroidota; Bacteroidia; Bacteroidales; Barnesiellaceae.